CAGUAGUCAUAUGCUUGUCUCAAAGACUAAGCCAUGCAUGUGUAAGUACACACCAUCCUAAGGUGAGACCGCGAAUGGCUCAUUAAAUCAGUUAUGGUUCAUUAGACGAGUUAAAUCCCACUUGGAUAACUGUGGUAAUUCUAGAGCUAAUACAUGACCCCCAAGCUCUGACCGUUUGCCGGAAAGAGCGCUUUUAUUAGACCAAGACCAAUCGGACUUGUCCGUUUCCUUUGGUGACUCUGAAUAACCUUUUGAAGAUCGCACGGUCUCGAACUGGCGACGCGUCUUUCAAAUGUCUGCCUUAUCAACUGUCGAUGGUAGGUUAUGUGCCUACCAUGGUUGUAACGGGUAACGGAGAAUCAGGGUUCGACUCCGGAGAGGGAGCCUGAGAAACGGCUGCCACAUCCAAGGAAGGCAGCAGGCACGCAAAUUACCCACUCCCGGCACGGGGAGGUAGUGACGAAAAAUAACGAUGCGGGACUCUUCCGAGGCCCCGUAAUCGGAAUGAGUACACUUUAAAUCCUUUAACGAGGAUCAAUUGGAGGGCAAGUCUGGUGCCAGCAGCCGCGGUAAUUCCAGCUCCAAUAGCGUAUACUAAAGUUGUUGCGGCUAAAAAGCUCGUAGUUGGAUUUCAGUCGUAGGCCGGUGGUCCACCGCCCGGUGGCUACUGCCUGGCCUAGGCACCUUGCCGGCUCUCCUGCGAUGCUCUUGGUUGGGUGUCGUGGGUGGCCGGAACGUUUACUUUGAAAAAAUUAGAGUGCUCCAAGCAGGCGUUACGGCCUGAAUAACACAGCAUGGAAUAAUGGAACAGGACCUUGGUUCUGUUUUGUUGGUCUUUGGAAGCUAAGGUAAUGAUUAAUAGGGACGGACGGGGGCAUUCGUAUUGCGACGCUAGAGGUGAAAUUCUUGGACCGUCGCAAGACGAACUACUGCGAGAA
This 938-nucleotide ribosomal RNA is filed under the name Mauritixenus gracilicornis. Its description in RNAcentral is "SSU rRNA". It matches the Rfam family "Eukaryotic small subunit ribosomal RNA", at positions 18 to 950 of the family's 1831-position model. Lineage: Eukaryota; Metazoa; Arthropoda; Diplopoda; Polyxenida; Polyxenidae. The record is from RNAcentral.